UCUGCCUUCAGUUUCAAGUCCUUGAGAACCACAUCACCUAUAAAAGAAUCGAAAGUUUGUAACAGGGGAUAACAGCAUAAAUUUAGGACGCCACACCUCUUCUUUUUUUUGACAAAUGAAGGUGAAAUUAGAUUGUAACAGGGGAUACCAGCACAACUUUAGGACACCAACCUUUUUAUGACAAAUGAAGGUGAAUUUAUUUUUUUUAAAAAGGAAGGAAACCAUGCAUUUCAAUAGAGUGCAACAAGGAUCCCAAAAUUCGCAAUAUUAUAAAAUGGUACACUUGUAACAUGGAAAUUAGAAACACCUACCUUUUAGACUGAAUUUUUCUCGUCAAGUCAAUACGCUAAAUACUCAUCAGAGAAAAAAAUCACCAGCCUUUCAAUUUGCAGCUAGUAUAACGUGAAUAAAGCAAUUGAAUCGGAUAUUUAAAAACCAAAUAGGAAAUAGAAAAAAUAUGAAUAUACCUUUCCAUACGCUGAUCCUCAAUGCCUCUGCCGACAAUCCAUGGACGUAUUCUCCAAGAUAUCUUCGAAGCAAAUGCAGAACCUACACCAUGUACAUAAUAUUGCUCAACAAAGCUAAUAUAAAAAUAAAAAUAAAAAAUAAGAGGAAAAAGAAGUAACAGCAACGAAACAUGACAUGAAUAAAU
Molecule: long non-coding RNA, 652 nt
Filed under: Nicotiana benthamiana
Lineage: Eukaryota; Viridiplantae; Streptophyta; Magnoliopsida; Solanales; Solanaceae
Description: long non-coding RNA (NBEN_LNC002542)
Source: RNAcentral